RNAcentral lists this ribosomal RNA (158 nucleotides) under Glomus sp. (unid). The record is from RNAcentral. Lineage: Eukaryota; Fungi; Glomeromycota; Glomeromycetes; Glomerales; Glomeraceae.
CAGUCGUGCAGGCGAGUAAUCAGCUUGACCGUAGGAGAUCACAGGCUGUGGCGAGCCUCAAAACCGCCACAACUUGUGCUCCCCUGUCGGCCUCGUGCACUUUCGUGUCGGCUGGUUAACAUCAAUUUCGAUCGUCAAUAAAAAGGCUAGGAAGGGAU